UACGUAGGGUCCGAGCGUUAAUCGGAAUUACUGGGCGUAAAGCGUGCGCAGGCGGUUUUUUAAGUCAGAUGUGAAAUCCCCGGGCUCAACCUGGGAACUGCAUUUGGGACUGCAAGGCUUGAGUACGGCAGAGGGGGGUAGAAUUCCUGGUGUAGCAGUGAAAUGCGUAGAUAUCAGGAGGAAUACCGAUGGCGAAGGCAGCCCCCUGGGUCGAUACUGACGCUCAUGCACGAAAGCGUGGGGAGCAAACAGG
RNAcentral lists this ribosomal RNA (253 nucleotides) under uncultured bacterium. RNAcentral describes it as "partial 16S ribosomal RNA". It matches the Rfam family "Bacterial small subunit ribosomal RNA", at positions 524 to 776 of the family's 1533-position model. The record is from RNAcentral.